RNAcentral lists this unclassified non-coding RNA (1154 nucleotides) under Hevea brasiliensis (rubber tree). Lineage: Eukaryota; Viridiplantae; Streptophyta; Magnoliopsida; Malpighiales; Euphorbiaceae. The record is from RNAcentral.
AAAAAAAAAACAACACUUUGAAAUCUCAAAAAUUGAUAAUACUACUUAAUACUGCUGUUUGCUGAUGGAUCAUGAGAGUGCAACUAUAUAUAAGAAUGAGACACAGGUCACGUGUCACUGUAACAGUAGUUGAAAAAUGGGAACGGGCAACCAUUAAAUACUUUGUGCAAAUUAUAGCACUUCAAGAGAGAUGUAAUUAAUAGAUUCAAAACUCAGAAUUUCUGAUAUGUCUAGUAUAUUUUAAGAUAAGUUAACAAAAUAAGGUGGUUGUUGAUUACUUUAGGCCUCAGGUGCAUCUGAAACCAAGAAAAAUUCCUCCUACCAAGAAAAAUCUUGUCCUACACCCUGUAGAGAAUUAUCUGUCUAAUAAUGAACACUGCUGCAUCUGGGAAUUCACGUUGGAAAAUAAAGAUAUGGACGGAAACCACUGAGAGAAUCACAAGUUAGAACACUAGACCUAACAUUUAUGGAGGCUAUCUCUUUUCAGGACCCUCCAACAGCCUUGCCUGCAAUAGCUACCUUAGACUCAAUAUUUCCUUUUCCAUUCGUUGACAGAGAAUUUGACGAAGGUUGUGAAAAUCUGAUAUCCCUUGCUUUCCUUUUCUCUUCUUCCAGUGUAUCUGUUUUAGAAGUUGGUGCAAAUCUCUCAAGUCGAGCUUUUUUCUUUGCUUCCUCAUCAGCAGUCACAGGAAGUCCAAACCUCUCUGCUCUAGCCUUCUUCUUCAGCUGCUCUGAAGUCUUUAAUUCAACCCCAGUGCCAAACCUUUCAGCUCGAGAAUUGCGUUUCUCUUCCUCAGACAACUGAACAGUGAUCCCAAAACGCUCAGCGCGGCGGAUCUUCUUCUCUGUGUCAGUGACUGGGGCUGUAUCUCCUGAACGCGAGCCAACCGCCGUGCCCUUGCCGCUCUUUGAAUCCUCGCCGUCCUUCUUAAGAGCGUCCGCAUCUGAAUUAACGAUGGAUGGGGAGAUGAUGGUGGAAUCCUCGAGACGAUCUGGCUUGGCGAGCGCAGGAGCUGUCGCGUCUAGGGUUUUGCUAGGAUUGUCUUGGAGAAGAGUGGUGCCGGUGGCGAGAUUCUCCGUGCCGGUUGUCAUUUCGAGAGAGAAGAUGAUAAUGGAGAGUGCGAGAGAGGUUGGCUGGGAAUGCGUGGGUGAUU